GGAGUAGGCUGGGCGAUCGCCGGUUCGCUGUUUUGAACGGGAGGAAAGUCCGGGCUCCACAGGACAGGAUGCCGGGUAACACCCGGCGGGGGCGACCCCAGGGAGAGUGCCACAGAAAGCAAACCGCCAGCCGGAUGGUAUGGAGUUGAUCGGUACCAUUGCUGGUAAGGGCGAAACGGUGCGGCAAGAGCGCACCGCGCUUGCGGUAACGGAAGCGGCAGGGAAAACCCCAUCCGGAGCAAGACCAAAUAGGGGGGCGUCAAAGACGGUUCGUCCAGUCCCCGGGUCGGUCGCUAGAGUUGUGCGGUAACGUACACCCCAGAGGAAUGAUCGCCAGCCCGACGCUUGGCAAGGUGUUGGGAGACAGAACCCGGCUUACAGGCCUACUCCGGUU
This 394-nucleotide RNase P RNA is filed under the name Magnetococcales bacterium. RNAcentral's name for it is "RNase P RNA component class A". It matches the Rfam family "Bacterial RNase P class A". From Rfam's summary of the family: Ribonuclease P (RNase P) is a ubiquitous endoribonuclease, found in archaea, bacteria and eukarya as well as chloroplasts and mitochondria. Its best characterised activity is the generation of mature 5'-ends of tRNAs by cleaving the 5'-leader elements of precursor-tRNAs. The record is from RNAcentral. Lineage: Bacteria; Pseudomonadati; Pseudomonadota; Magnetococcia; Magnetococcales.